Molecule: long non-coding RNA, 1975 nt
Organism: Monodelphis domestica (gray short-tailed opossum)
Lineage: Eukaryota; Metazoa; Chordata; Mammalia; Didelphimorphia; Didelphidae
Source: Ensembl
CCUUUUUUAAGGGCCGCCACCCCUAAUUGGUUCCAAAAGACCGCGCCUUAAGAAAAAAAAUCGCUGUCUCCCCAGCGAGACACCGGACUCUCCUUCUCUCCCUUCCUCCCUCACCAUGGCCCGGGGAGGGGGAAAUCUGUCCCUUAACAUAGAAGGCUCUGCCUCCCCAACCCACACACCACCAGGGGGAGCCCCGGAUACGCCCAACUGGCACCCAGCCAGGACCUUGGAUGGGGAGGGGCUGGCGGCGAGAUGGGGGGGGGGGUCACACUUUGUUUUAGCACGUAUAAAGAGUCUGGUUUACCCCCAAGCCAGGGGUACUAGGUCUUGAAGAAGGCAGUCACAGAGCUCCCAGAAUUAGGCAGGGUCCCAGAACGGAACAAUAGUUGGGGGUCAUGAUGGGUCAAGUCCCAUGUAUCCAGCUCCAUAUUCCCUGACAGUCUGGCUGGCUCUUGCUCAGACCCCUAGGGGCAAAGGUCCCCACAAGCUCCUUUAGGUCUGCUCAAAACCUAGCCCCCUUCCCUUCGGCCCCUUUCCCGUACUAGGCUGUCCUUGGAGCCUAGCCGCCGCAGACAAAGGGCUCCAACAGGUUAGUCGCCUGUCGGUGUCUCUUACCUCGGGACCGGGCUGGGGGGACCGGCCGCCACCGCCUUGGGGGUACUGCAGCUCCCCCCACUCUGUCCCCCACCUCAGUCAGCGCCGCCGUCGCCGCCGCCGCCUUCCGGGAGCUCUCAGCCGGGCAGUCUGAGCCAUGCCCCAACCACCGCCGCUGCCGCCGCCUCUCUGCGCCCCUCAGCCAGCUCCAUGCAGCUAGUCCGGGGCUCCCUGCGAUGCUCCCCAACGGGGGAGGAGAUGUGGGGGGAGCCGCCGAAUCACCCGGCCUGGGGGCUGGGGGCGGGGGUAGUAGGAGAAUCGCCGAGUGUGAGCGCGUGUGUCAGUGUAUGAGAGAAUGAAUGUGCGAAAGCCGGCGAGGUAGCGCCGGCGGGCUGCACGGGCGAUGCCUGAGGUUGGUCCUCUGCCUGCCUUCUCCUCCUCCUCUUCUCCAGCUCUCUCUCUUCCAAUCGCUCUCUCUCGCGCCUCCCCCCUCUCCCCCCGCCCGGGAGCCCUCUCCCUCCCCUAUCCGUCCCGUCUCGGGUUUGAACCCGCAGGUGGCUGUGAUGGAAAUGGAGAGGCAGUCAGGACCCUGGAAACCCUGAAGUUGGCAUUACUACACCAGGAACCUACAGAGUGGUCUCCAGGUUGCAACAAAGAUCCUGGAAUAGACAAGAUGCCGGGGCAGGCCAAGAACAGUGUCCAGAGGCAGCUAGCUACCUGGGAGCCUUUGAGGCAAGUCUCGUACUUCUUAUCUCAACUCAACUACUCUGAGGCUCAGGGUUGUAGAAAAGUCCUUUUGGGGGUCUUCCUGAUCAAUUCUGAGCAAUACUCCUUGACUAAGCAGAGCAAGGGCAAAGCUUGACUUGCUGCCAAAAUGUAGCUCAGGAAGAAGCAGAGCCUGAGGCCAACUCCUUCCCAAUUGGGUCCAAACCCAGUUCUAGUCUAGCUGAGAAAGCAGCCUCAGAACUUUCAGACAGGGUCAAGUGGGUCACUAAUGGGUGACCACAGCCUAGCUGUGGGAGAAAUACACUAGGCAAAAUCCAACCACAGAAGCCUCUGACACCUGUUGGGGCAACCUACCAUAGGAGUAAACACUUGCUUAAAGUAAAGUAAAAAGCUUGCUUCAGCAAGCUGCAGGGGUUGGAAUUAGGCCCUAUAGCUGGGAGUGAUAGCAGAGCCCUGUAAAAAUAGGGGAUCCCAUAUUCCUCAGGACUGGGCAGGUCCUGCUGACACCAUUCAGUUGAAGAGCUUAAUCUAAGCAUAUCUUCUUUCUCAUUCCCUUUGAAGAAAAAACAAGGAAAACUCUUAAGACUAUGAGGAAUGCUCAGGAGUAAGGCCAGGAGAGAAUGUUAACCCCAAAAUAAAUGCAUAUCAAGUCUCA